This 459-nucleotide ribosomal RNA is filed under the name uncultured bacterium. RNAcentral's name for it is "partial 16S ribosomal RNA". It matches the Rfam family "Bacterial small subunit ribosomal RNA", at positions 338 to 795 of the family's 1533-position model. The record is from RNAcentral.
CCUAUGGGGGGCAGCAGUGAGGAAUAUUGGUCAAUGGGCGCGAGCCUGAACCAGCCAAGUAGCGUGAAGGAUGACUGCCCUACGGGUUGUAAACUUCUUUUAUAAAGGAAUAAAGUGAGGCACGUGUGCCUUUUUGUAUGUACUUUAUGAAUAAGGAUCGGCUAACUCCGUGCCAGCAGCCGCGGUAAUACGGAGGAUCCGGGCGUUAUCCGGAUUUAUUGGGUUUAAAGGGAGAGUAGAUGGGUUGUUAAGUCAGUUGUGAAAGUUUGCGGCUCAACCGUAAAAUUGCAAUUGAUACUGGAAGUGUUGAGUACAGUUGAGGUAGGCGGAAUUCGGGGUGUAGCGGUGAAAUGCUUAGAGAUCAAGAAGAACGACGAUUGCGAAGGCAGCUACUAAACUGCCACUGACAUUGAUGCUAGAAAGUGUGGGUAUCAAACAGGAUUAGAUACCCGAGUAGUC